RNAcentral lists this ribosomal RNA (117 nucleotides) under Puniceicoccus vermicola. The record is from RNAcentral. Lineage: Bacteria; Pseudomonadati; Verrucomicrobiota; Opitutia; Puniceicoccales; Puniceicoccaceae.
UCUGGUGAGUAUAGGUGAGGGGAAACACCCGUUUCCAUUCCGAACACGCCGGUUAAGCCCUCAACCGCCGAUGGUAGUUGGACCUUGCUGUCCUGUGAGAGUAGGUUAUUGCCAGGU